This 1053-nucleotide long non-coding RNA is filed under the name Nicotiana tabacum (common tobacco). Its description in RNAcentral is "long non-coding RNA (NTAB_LNC015324)". Lineage: Eukaryota; Viridiplantae; Streptophyta; Magnoliopsida; Solanales; Solanaceae. The record is from RNAcentral.
CAAGAGCAACUCAGAGGCAAUUCCUUGGCAGAUCUUGGCCUCGACAUAUUAGAAUACUACAAACUUUAUUGCAUCUUUCCUUAUCAAUAUUCGGUGUCCAUUCAACUCAUGCUGAUGAAUUUGUUUCUUUUUCUCCUAAGCCAUUCUACAAUGCACAUACCCACUACAACAAAUGUACUUUGGACUGGCCUACCGAUGAUCACCCUUCCCCUUGAGAAUUUAGCAACUGGCCGUUGUGUUUGGCCACAAGGGUUGCUGAGGAGAUGAUUGUUAGCAGGUAGGUAUUUCGGACUUAAAGGUUUCUAUGAUAGAUUUUAUCGUGACAAACAUUUUUCUUUCUUAAGAUGAUAUUUUCAUUAAAUUGUGUUUUAGAAGCUCAUACUCUUAAUGCAUGUGAACAUCGUGUUGGAAUUCUUGCGAUUUAUAUACAUAACGAUAAUUCUUUUACAAAACAUAAAAAAUAUAAGAUCUUACAACUUUAACUUUUUUUAAUUCAAGUAAAUCCAUACUCUAAUAUGCUAAUGUAGAAAUUUUAUAUUGAAACUAAACUAUAAAAAUCAAAGAAGGAUUUACCAAAAGCCUCAAAUGGUACGCUGAUUUAGCAAUACAUGUUUGAUGAAUACAAAUAAGCCUGUCAUUUGACUAAAUAAUUAUGGUGUUGGAACUUUCUCAAUAUUUUUUUAGAUGUAGUUCUCCCAACUUUACAUAUUUCUUUUGUUUUACUGUAGUUCUCCCUGACUUUCUUAUUUGUUUUAUUUAAUGAUCAUGUGCUUUUUAUGCAUUAUUUUAUUUAUCAUGGUGGAAGUCGAAAUCACUUGUGCCGUUAAAUAAAACUUCUGAAUUUACAAUAUUUACAAACAUCAUGUUCAGAUUCUUUUUAGAUUUAUUCAGAAAUGCUUUUGAAUUCAUUUCUAAUUUUAUGGUAGUCUAUUUUUCACAGCUUUGCACGCCCUGACUAAAUUUCUUUUAUCUCCAUACUGGAAAAUUGAAAAACUGAUCUGUUUGUGCCGUUGGAAAGAGAACUUCUGGGGCUACAAUAUAUACAAAAACCAG